RNAcentral lists this long non-coding RNA (996 nucleotides) under Sus scrofa (pig). Its description in RNAcentral is "lncRNA (ENSSSCG00070024065.1)". Lineage: Eukaryota; Metazoa; Chordata; Mammalia; Artiodactyla; Suidae. The record is from RNAcentral.
AACUGCCAUGAUGCCUUCUAAGUCUGACCUUGAUCCAGGCAGCACUCCUGGCAGCUGGUGAGCCAGGGACAAAAGAUUUAAUGGAAUAAAUGAGUACAAAUUUCCCUACGGUCUUCUGACAGCAAGAUGUCAGCAGUCCUCCCUGUUGUGAUAGAUUGCAUAGGAUGUGCUUCCGGAUCCAAAGGAACAAUCGACAGACGUCACAAAGAUCCACCUCUGGCUGCCAUCAGAAAGUUAUGCUCCUGGCGCCACCAGCGAGUGCACCCCGCUAAUGGGUCGGGGACAGAAGAAACCCCGGGCUCCCAUGAAAGGCUGCCCAGCACCGCAGGAGGAAUAGAGGCUCCAAGUGGCUGCACAAUGCCGGCCGAUGACGCAACUAAUAAUAAUGGCAUGGCUUUGGAGCGCCCCACUCCAGUGACAAACAAUCGGGGUGAAGAAGAAGAAGGUGGGUCUUCCUUGCGGGCAUUGGUUGGAGAGCAGCCAGAUCCUGGUUCCUUUUGGAAAGGGGGUAGUCUGGGAUGUGGAGCAGGCAGCUCUUUCCCAGUCAUAGUGAUGCCCUGGUGGCACCUGCCCUGGACACAAGUCUCUUGUGUUGAUUCCUUGGGUUGUGACACAUUCCGAGGGACAGGGAGUGAGGUCCAUGUGUGAGCACAUGUGGUGUAAGUAUCUGUUUCCUCAUGAGCUCUCUCCUAUUUAUACAGAAAAUACACCGCUCAACGUUCCUUAAGAAACAUCCCAUCACCUCUGCGUACCACCCCUAUAGGCAUGCAUUCGCCCUCACCACUGCUGUCCCCACGUUGGCUUAAUUUUCCCGUUGCUCAGGUGGAGAUGGUGCAGAGAGAGUUGGCCCAAGCUCUUGACCUCCUACAUGGGAAAGCCAAAGUGGGACCCAGGCUGGGUCCCUAUGGGGACGCUCUGGACCCCUGACCUGCACCUCUCCCUCAGCCAGGACUUGGUCGUUCGUGGGGAGCACGGAGCGGGGAGGGUCCCUGCUCC